This 274-nucleotide ribosomal RNA is filed under the name uncultured bacterium. RNAcentral's name for it is "partial 16S ribosomal RNA". It matches the Rfam family "Bacterial small subunit ribosomal RNA", at positions 523 to 796 of the family's 1533-position model. The record is from RNAcentral.
AUACGGAGGGUGCAAGCGUUAUUCGGAAUCACUGGGCGUAAAGGACGCGUAGGCGGGUUGGCAAGUCAGAUGUGAAAUCCUACAGCUUAACUGUAGAACUGCAUUUGAAACUGCUAACCUAGAGUAUGGGAGGGGGAGAUGGAAUUAGCGGUGUAGGGGUAAAAUCCGUAGAUAUCACUAGGAAUACCGAAAGCGAAGGCGAUCUCCUGGAACAUAACUGACGCUAAGGCGUGAAAGCGUGGGGAGCAAACAGGAUUAGAAACCCUAGUAGUCC